Long non-coding RNA from Octopus sinensis (East Asian common octopus), 294 nucleotides. RefSeq lists it as uncharacterized. The record is from RefSeq and is a predicted model, not a curated record. NCBI's taxonomy places the organism in Eukaryota, Metazoa, Mollusca, Cephalopoda, Octopoda, Octopodidae. The transcript is spliced from 3 exons.
CUGCCGGAUAUUCGAUGCUUUUAUUAUGCUAAUUAAAACUCAAUUGGAGACUAAAAAUCCACAAGGAAUAAACGGAAUCAAAUCAAUCGUAGUUAAAUUUGUUUAUUUGGUAAAGCGACUGCUCUACAUGCAUCCUCGUGAGACAAUUACGACUGCAAAGUUGGCUCUUCCAUGCCUCAAAGAAUAUAUUAACUCUAUUUGUCAUCCGGGGAGUCUUCUUUCUGAAGUGAAUGCUCUUGAAGUGGCUAUAUCCAUUGAUACACGUGGUUCAAAUUAUUUGAAUAUUUUUUCUCG